AGCAAACGCUGGCGGCGUGCCUAAUACAUGCAAGUCGAACGGGGAAAGUAGCAAUAUGAGUACUAGUGGCGCACGGGUGAGGAGCGCGUGGGUAAUCUGCCUUCGAGCGGGGGAUAACUAGUCGAAAGAUUAGCUAAUACCGCAUAAGACCACAAGAUCUGCGGAACUAGGGGUCAAAGCAGCAAUGCACUUGAAGAUGAGCCCGCGUAGGAUUAGCUAGUUGGUGAGGUAACGGCUCACCAAGGCGAUGAGCUUUAGCUGGUCUGAGAGGAUGAUCAGCCACACUGGAACUGAGACACGGUCCAGACUCCUACGGGAGGCAGCAGUAGGGAAUAUUGCGCAAUGGGGGCAACCCUGACGCAGCGACGCCGCGUGAGUGAUGAAGGCCUUCGGGUCGUAAAGCUCUGUUAUAUGGGAAUAAGUUCUGAAUGUACCAUGUGAGAAAGGAUCGGCUAACUUCGUGCCAGCCGCCGCAGUAA
This 479-nucleotide ribosomal RNA is filed under the name uncultured bacterium. Its description in RNAcentral is "partial 16S ribosomal RNA". It matches the Rfam family "Bacterial small subunit ribosomal RNA", at positions 29 to 523 of the family's 1533-position model. The record is from RNAcentral.